GUGGAGCCUGCGGUUUAAUCGGACUCAACGCCGGAAAUCUCACCGGAUAAGACAGCUGAAUGAUAGUCGGGAUGAAGACUCUACUUGACUAGCUGAGAGGAGGUGCAUGGCCGUCGUCAGUUCGUACUGUGAAGCAUCCUGUUUAGUCAGGCAACGAGCGAGACCCACGCCAACAAUUGCCAGCAUGACCUUCGGGUUGAUGGGGACAUCGUUGGGACCGCCUCUGCUAAAGGGGAGGAAGGACUGGGCAACGGUAGGUCAGCAUGCCCCGAAUUAUCCGGGCUACACGCGGGCUACAAUGGUCGGGACAAUGGGUUCCGACACCGAAAGGUGAAGGCAAUCUCCUAAACCCGUCCGAAGUUCGGAUUGCGGGCUGUAACUCACCCGCAUGAAGCUGGAAUCCGUAGUAAUCGCGUUUCACCAUAGCGCGGUGAAUAUGUCCCUGCUCCUUGCACACACCGCCCGUCAAACCACCCGAGUGAGGUCUUGAUGAGGCGACGUCAUAAGACGCUGUCGAAUCUGGGUUC
This 527-nucleotide ribosomal RNA is filed under the name uncultured Methanospirillaceae archaeon. RNAcentral's name for it is "bacterial SSU rRNA". It matches the Rfam family "Archaeal small subunit ribosomal RNA", at positions 888 to 1416 of the family's 1478-position model. The record is from RNAcentral. Lineage: Archaea; Methanobacteriati; Methanobacteriota; Methanomicrobia; Methanomicrobiales; Methanospirillaceae.